CCCUUAGAGUUUGAUCCUGGCUCAGAUUGAACGCUGGCGGCAGGCCUAACACAUGCAAGUCGAGCGGGGUUUUCGGACCUAGCGGCGGACGGGUGAGUAAUGCGUAGGAAGCUGCCCGAUAGAGGGGGAUACCAGUUGGAAACGACUGUUAAUACCGCAUAAUGUCUACGGACCAAAGUGUGGGACCUUCGGGCCACAUGCUAUCGGAUGCGCCUACGUGGGAUUAGCUAGUUGGUGAGGUAAUGGCUCACCAAGGCGACGAUCUCUAGCUGGUUUGAGAGGAUGAUCAGCCACACUGGAACUGAGACACGGUCCAGACUCCUACGGGAGGCAGCAGUGGGGAAUAUUGGACAAUGGGCGCAAGCCUGAUCCAGCCAUGCCGCGUGUGUGAAGAAGGCCUUCGGGUUGUAAAGCACUUUCAGCGAGGAGGAAGGGAGUUGUGUUAAUAGCGCAGCUUUUUGACGUUACUCGCAGAAGAAGCACCGGCUAACUCUGUGCCAGCAGCCGCGGUAAUACAGAGGGUGCAAGCGUUAAUCGGAAUUACUGGGCGUAAAGCGCACGUAGGCGGUUGGUUAAGUUGGAUGUGAAAGCCCCGGGCUCAACCUGGGAAUUGCAUUCAAAACUGGCCACCUAGAAUACGGGAGAGGGGGGUAGAAUUCCAGUGUAGCGGUGAAAUGCGUAGAGAUUUGGAGGAA
RNAcentral lists this ribosomal RNA (695 nucleotides) under uncultured bacterium. RNAcentral's name for it is "bacterial SSU rRNA". It matches the Rfam family "Bacterial small subunit ribosomal RNA", at positions 1 to 706 of the family's 1533-position model. The record is from RNAcentral.